This 358-nucleotide ribosomal RNA is filed under the name uncultured methanogenic archaeon. RNAcentral's name for it is "bacterial SSU rRNA". It matches the Rfam family "Archaeal small subunit ribosomal RNA", at positions 511 to 868 of the family's 1478-position model. Lineage: Archaea; Methanobacteriati; Methanobacteriota. The record is from RNAcentral.
CUAAGGGUCUGUAGCCGGCCAGGUAAGUCUCUUGGGAAAUCUGGCAGCUUAACUGUGAGGCUGCUAGGGGAUACUGCUGGGCUUGGGACCGGGAGAGGUGAGAGGUACCUUGGGGGUAGGGGUGAAAUCUUGUGAUCCUCGGGGGACCACCAGGGGCAAAGGCGUCUCAUCGAAACGGGCCCAACGGGAAGGAACAAAAGCUAGGGACACGAACCGAAUUAAAUACCCGGGUAGUCCUAGCCGUAAACAAUGCUCGCUGGGUGUCAGUCACGGUGCGACCGUGAUUGGUGCCGUAGGGAAGCCGUGAAGCCAGCCACCGGGGAAGUAUGGCCGCAAGGCUGAAACUUAAAGGAAUUGG